GUGAAUCAUCGAAUUUUUGAACGCAAAUUGCACUCUCCGGUUUUCCGGGAGAGUAUGCCUGUUUGAGGGUCAGCCUAAAAAAAAUCGACAUUGUUGCUGUUAUUUAAUGGUGACUUUCGUCGGAGAUUGGGUUAUCUUAAACCUUUUUUUUUUUUUUUUUUAAGCGACUUAAAAUUUUUUUUUUCGAUUUCAUAAACGUUUCUAAGAUUUUUUUUUCUUUUAUUUUUUUGGUUUUUCGAUUUUUUUUUUUACGUUACCCUC
Molecule: unclassified non-coding RNA, 261 nt
Filed under: Funneliformis geosporum
Lineage: Eukaryota; Fungi; Glomeromycota; Glomeromycetes; Glomerales; Glomeraceae
Description: partial contains 5.8S ribosomal RNA and internal transcribed spacer 2
Rfam family: 5.8S ribosomal RNA (bases 1-72)
Source: RNAcentral